GAUGAAGAACGUAGCGAAAUGCGAUACGUAAUGUGAAUUGCAGAAUUCAGUGAAUCAUCGAAUCUUUGAACGCAUAUUGCGCUCUCUGGUAUUCCGGAGAGCAUGCUUGUUUGAGUAUCAGUAAACACCUCAACUUCCAUAUCUUUUUUGAAAUGGGAGUUGGACUUGAGUGAUCCCAACGCUUUUCCUCACCGAAAAGUGGCGGGUUACUUGAAAUGCAGGUGCAGCUGGACUUUUCUCUGAGCUAUAAGCAUAUCUAAUUAGUCUGCCUAAAAAACAGAUUAUUACCUUUGCUGCAGCUAACAUAAAGGAGAUUAGUUCUUGUGCUGACUGAUGCAGGAUUCACAAAAACGGCUUCGGCCGACUUUGUAAACUCGAUCUCAAAUCAAGUAAGACUACCCGCUGAACUUAAGCAUAUCAAUAAGCGGAGGA
Molecule: unclassified non-coding RNA, 432 nt
Filed under: soil metagenome
Description: partial contains 5.8S ribosomal RNA, internal transcribed spacer 2, and large subunit ribosomal RNA
Rfam family: 5.8S ribosomal RNA (bases 1-120)
Source: RNAcentral